This 61-nucleotide transfer RNA is filed under the name Ornithodoros furcosus. RNAcentral describes it as "tRNA-Gln". Lineage: Eukaryota; Metazoa; Arthropoda; Arachnida; Ixodida; Argasidae. The record is from RNAcentral.
GUUUUUGGUGUAUGGCACGUUAGAUUUUGAAUUUAAAGGAAAUAACCCAAUUUAUUAAAAC